Molecule: ribosomal RNA, 449 nt
Filed under: uncultured prokaryote
Description: bacterial SSU rRNA
Rfam family: Bacterial small subunit ribosomal RNA
Source: RNAcentral
CUAAGAAUCUUCCACAAUGGGCGCAAGCCUGAUGGAGCGACGCCGCGUGAAUGAAGAAUGCCGUGAGGUUGUAAAGUUCUUUUCUUACUGAGGAAUAAUGCUUUAAGGGAAUGUGAAGCAGAUGACGUUAAGUAAGGAAUAAGCCCCGGCUAAUUACGUGCCAGCAGCCGCGGUAACACGUAAGGGGCAAGCGUUGUUCGGAAUCAUUGGGCGUAAAGGGCGCGUAGGCGGUUUUGCAAGUCUGGUGUUAAACCCCUCGGCUUAACUGAGGAGGAGCGCUGGAAACGGUAAGACUUGAGUAGCGUAGGGGUACCUGGAAUUCCUAGUGUAGGGGUGAAAUCUGUAGAUAUUAGGAAGAACACCUGUGGCGAAGGCGAGGUACUGGGCGCAAACUGACGCUGAGGCGCGAAAGUGUGGGGAGCGAACAGGAUUAGAUACCCCCGUAGUCC